Long non-coding RNA from Nycticebus coucang (slow loris), 1295 nucleotides. RefSeq lists it as uncharacterized. NCBI's taxonomy places the organism in Eukaryota, Metazoa, Chordata, Mammalia, Primates, Lorisidae. The transcript is spliced from 2 exons. The record is from RefSeq and is a predicted model, not a curated record.
UAUUUAAAAGCUGGCUGGCGACUGCCUCCAUGUCCCAACAUGGGGUUUCUGAGAGCAGUACCAAGUCUUUUUUUUUUUUUUUUUAUUGUUGGGGAUUCAUUGAGGGUACAAUAAGCCAGGUUAUAUUGAUUGCAUUUGUUAGAUAAAGACCCUCUUAUAAUUGUGUCCUCCCCUCAAAAGGUACCACACACUGUGCCCCCCACCCUCUCCUUCCUUCCCUCUGUCUGUUCUCCCCUUCCCCCAACCCCCAUCGUGUACUAGGUCAGUAAUUAUCCUCAUAUCAGAAUUGGGUACAUAGGCUGUUUUCACAUUUUGGGGGUUGUAAAUUGAGCUGCAAUAAACAGUCUAGUACAUGUGUCCUUAUGGUAAAUGUCCUUCUGGGUAGAUGCCAGUAAUGCGAUUACAGGAUCAAAUGGGAGGUCUAGCUUGAGUUCUUUGAGGGUUCUCCAUACUUUCUUACAAAAAGUUUGUAUUAGUUUGCAGUCCCACCAGCAGUGUAAAAGUUUUCCCUUCUCUCCACAUCCACACCAGCAUCCGCAGUGUUGAGAUUUUGUGAUGUGGGCCAUUGUUGCUGGGGUUAGAUGAUAUCUCAGGGUGAUUUUGAUUUGCAUUUCUCUAAUAAUUAGGGACGAUGAGCUUUUUUUCAUAUGUGUGCUAGUCAUUUAUCUGUCUUCUUUAGAGAAGGUUCUAUUCACGUCUCUUGCUCAUUGAUUUAAGGGAUUGUUGGCUCUUUUUAUGUUGAUUAAUUUGAAUUCUCUGUAGGUCCUAGUUAUCAAGAUUUUGUCUGAUUCAAAAUAUGCAAAUAUCCUUUCCCAUUGUGUAGGUUGUCUAUUUGCUUUAAUUGCUGUCUCCUUAACUGUACAGAAGCUUUUCAGUUUAAUUAAGUCCCAUUUGUUUAUUUUUGUUGUUGUUCCAAUUGCCACCGAAGUCCUCUUCAUAAAGUCUCUCCCCAGGCCAAUAGCUUCAAGUGUUUUCCUCACACUUUCUUUGAGGAUUUUUAUUGUUUCAUGCCUUAGAUUUAGGUGUUUUAUCCAUCUUGAAUCAAUUUUUGUGAGUGGAGAAAGGUGUGGAUCCAGUUUCAUUUUUUUACAUGUGGAUAUCUAGUUCUCCCAGCACCACAUAUGUUCAUUUUCUGCUUUUUCUGUGGGGCCCCUAUACCUCCUGGGAUGGAAAUAACAUCACAGAAAACCAGAGCUCGGUGGCAGAUAAAGCCUCAGGACAAGAUUGACUCAGGAAUUACUGCAAUACAGUAAAUGAGACUUUGGUGUCAAACUGGGCUCAGCACUGAAAUACGA